AUUGAACGCUGGCGGCAUGCUUUACACAUGCAAGUCGAACGGCAGCACGAAAGAGCUUGCUCUUUUGGUGGCGAGUGGCGAACGGGUGAGUAAUGCAUCGGAACGUACCGAGUAAUGGGGGAUAACUAUCCGAAAGGAUAGCUAAUACCGCAUACGCUUUGAGAAGGAAAGUGGGGGCUCUUCGGACCUCACGUUAUUCGAGCGGCCGAUGUCUGAUUAGCUAGUUGGUGGGGUAAAGGCCUACCAAGGCGACGAUCAGUAGCGGGUCUGAGGGGAUGAUCCGCCACACUGGGACUGAGACACGGCCCAGACUCCUACGGGAGGCAGCAGUGGGGAAUUUUGGACAAUGGGCGCAAGCCUGAUCCAGCCAUGCCGCGUGUCUGAAGAAGGCCUUCGGGUUGUAAAGGACUUUUGUUAGGGAAGAAAAGGAUAGUGUUAAUUCCAUUAUCUGGGGACG
RNAcentral lists this ribosomal RNA (457 nucleotides) under Kingella oralis. RNAcentral describes it as "bacterial SSU rRNA". It matches the Rfam family "Bacterial small subunit ribosomal RNA", at positions 30 to 487 of the family's 1533-position model. The record is from RNAcentral. Lineage: Bacteria; Pseudomonadati; Pseudomonadota; Betaproteobacteria; Neisseriales; Neisseriaceae.